UUCAGUUCCUUGUGACUGGACAGGUCCUUUAAAACAAUUGUGCAUCAAGGAAAGUUCUCUACCAUUUCUGAAUUUGUCAAUCUUUAUGCACCUAAAUAGCCAUCCUUAUGCUGUUACUACACCCUGAAAUAGUCACACAUAAUAAAAAGAGAACAAGAGAAUUCCAUUCUCAUGCAAACUUUGGACAAGAAAUGCCACAGCGUCUAAAUGGAUGGUCUUAUACUGAGAGUUGUAGUUGCUUCUGUCUGUGUUAUUGCAACAGGAGAAUUUGAGAUGACUGAUUAGCACAGCCAAGAAGAGGAUGCUCAGAUGUGUACACAGACAGAACAGAGUUACAAAAUACUGAAUCCUGCUGAAUCCCUACCCUUCACAUUUUAACUUUUUUUUUUUUCCUUCCAUGUACUGCUCACUGCACUGCUUUCCUUGGCCACAUUUUAUCUAAAUUUGGCUGGAAUAAUAGAUGCCAUUACCACAGCCCAUGUUGUUUUCAGCAGCUUGAGCAUAAUGGCAUGAGGAUUCAUGCAGAAGAAUCCAGCAUGCAAAGAAGAAUGUGAAUCCCCUGCCUGAGAUCAAAAAUCUGUCACUCUGUG
This 590-nucleotide long non-coding RNA is filed under the name Gallus gallus (chicken). RNAcentral describes it as "long non-coding RNA NONGGAT012082". The record is from RNAcentral. Lineage: Eukaryota; Metazoa; Chordata; Aves; Galliformes; Phasianidae.